GCCUGCCCAAUGACUCUGUUUAACGGCCGCGGUAUCCUAACCGUGCGAAGGUAGCGUAAUCACUUGUUCUCUAAAUGUGGACUAGUAUGAACGGCAUCACGAGGGUUAUACUGUCUCCUCUUUCUAAUCAGUGAAACUAACCUCCCCGUGAAGAGGCGGGGAUAGAACUAUAAGACGAGAAGACCCUAUGGAGCUUUAAACAACAUAGCACCUGCCCUAUAAUACGAAAUUUCCGAAUCUCUUACUCCAAAGCAAUAUGACUAUAAGUUUUUGGUUGGGGUGACCGCGGAGCAAAACUUAACCUCCAUGUUGAAAAUUUUAAGCUGAGAAUCACCCUUCUAAGCAUCAAUAUACUGACACCAAUUGACCCAAUACAUUUGAACAACGAACCAAGUUACCCUAGGGAUAACAGCGCA
This 416-nucleotide ribosomal RNA is filed under the name Nectophrynoides cf. viviparus HCL-2014. Its description in RNAcentral is "partial 16S ribosomal RNA". It matches the Rfam family "Bacterial large subunit ribosomal RNA", at positions 1857 to 2484 of the family's 2925-position model. Lineage: Eukaryota; Metazoa; Chordata; Amphibia; Anura; Bufonidae. The record is from RNAcentral.